Molecule: ribosomal RNA, 495 nt
Filed under: uncultured bacterium
Lineage: Bacteria
Description: partial 16S ribosomal RNA
Rfam family: Bacterial small subunit ribosomal RNA
Source: RNAcentral
GACGAACGCUGGCGGCGUGCCUAAUACAUGCAAGUAGAACGCUGAAGGAGGAGCUUGCUUCUCUGGAUGAGUUGCGAACGGGUGAGUAACACGUAGGUAACCUGCCUGGUAGCGGGGGAUAACUAUUGGAAACGAUAGCUAAUACCGCAUAAUAGUAGAUGUCGCAUGACAUUUGCUUAAAAGGUUCAGUUGCAUCACUACCAGAUGGACCUGCGUUGGAUUAGCUAGUUGGUGAGGUAACGGCUCACCAAGGCAACGAUACAUAGCCGACGGGAGAGGGGGAGCGGCCACACUGGGACGGUGACACGGCACAGACUGCCUCGGGAAGGAGCAGUAGGGAUACUUGGGGCAGGGGCGGAAGUUUGACCGAGAUACGCCGAGGGAGGGUAGAAGGUUGUCGGGUCGGAAAGGUCUGUUGUAAGGGAAGAACGCGCGUGAGAGUGGAAAGUUCACUCUGUGACGGUAACUUAUCAGAAAGGGACGGCUAACUACGUG